Molecule: ribosomal RNA, 422 nt
Filed under: uncultured bacterium
Lineage: Bacteria
Description: partial 16S ribosomal RNA
Rfam family: Bacterial small subunit ribosomal RNA
Source: RNAcentral
AAUAUUGGACAAUGGGGGCAACCCUGAUCCAGCCAUGCCGCGUGUGUGAAGAAGGUCUUCGGAUUAAAAAGCCCUUUAAGUUGGGAGGAAGGGCUUUAGGUUAAUACCGUGAAGUUUUUCCGUUACCAACAUAAUAAGCCACGGCUAACUCUGUCCAAGCAGCCGCGGUAAUACAAAGGGUGCAAGGGUUAAUCGGAAUUACUGGGCGUAAAGCGCGCGUAGGUGGUUCAGUAAGAUGGGUGUGAAAUCCCCGGGCUUAACCUGGGAACUGCUUUCAUAACUGCUGAGCUAGAGUACGGUAGAGGGUAGUGGAAUUUCCUGUGUAGCGGUGAAAUGCGUAGAUAUAGGAAGGAACACCAGUGGCGAAGGCGACUACCUGGACUGAUACUGACACUGAGGUGCGAAAGCGUGGGGAGCAAACA